UAAUUUUAGUUGGUAUUUCAAGGGAAGAUGGGCGAUUCCGAACAAUCCUCUGUCCCCAGCAAUGAAGGCAGCGAUGCUGAGGCCAGUGAGGACGACCAACAGCCCACCGCCGCGUAUGGUUGGGGCAGGGAGCCCAGAUACUCUGCUGAGGAGCUGCCAUCGCGUGUAACAAAUGUGGAGGAAGAAGAUGCGUCAGCAGCUGCGUCCGACAGAAGACGAGUAGCUUGGCCACCAGAAUCUCGAUUCGUUUGGGACUCCGACUGGUGCGAGCGUGGACAAAAGUGUAUAGCCAUGCCCAGCCCGCGGGAAUGAUUUUGCUGGUAGGAUGCUGCCGUCGCUGUCGACAAGACGGCCCAAGGUUUCUUGCGUAGCGGACCUCGCAGAUUACGAGAUCGUAUCCUUGCAUUAGGCUGUGCUCAUCACUGCUCUUCGAGGUUAUCUCGACAUGCAGAAGCCGCCAAUGCCAGUGACAGAAGAGUCUGACAUUAGAUCUCUACGCUAUGCGGCACACAGGCAGUACACACUAUGUACACGGCAAAUUGGGCAAGCACGUUCGUUGUCGUCUUCCAGCCUGCGUUGUGAAUACCAUCAGGCAAAGAUAUCCAAAUCCUGCACCACCUCAGCCUUCUCAGGAGGCUUCCACCUGGAAUUUGGCAGGGAAACACGCUUCUCCAAGGCAGGAACAUGGAGGUUGCCAUUUGCAACCGCUACCACCUCACACAUGAGCUUGUCAACAUACUCAUAGCUCUUUCUGUCGUAUAAUUUUCUAUUUGGCCACAGUCUUCUUUAUGCUUUGAGAACUGGACUUUAUACCUUCC
This is a long non-coding RNA of Sycon ciliatum, 818 nucleotides long. RefSeq lists it as uncharacterized. NCBI's taxonomy places the organism in Eukaryota, Metazoa, Porifera, Calcarea, Leucosolenida, Sycettidae. The transcript has 2 exons. The record is from RefSeq and is a predicted model, not a curated record.